Molecule: ribosomal RNA, 447 nt
Filed under: Triticum aestivum (bread wheat)
Lineage: Eukaryota; Viridiplantae; Streptophyta; Magnoliopsida; Poales; Poaceae
Description: partial small subunit ribosomal RNA
Source: RNAcentral
AUGGACGAUGCCUUUAAGUUCAUUAUCAAAAAUGAUGGUCUCACCACCGAGUCCAACUACCCAUAUACCGCGACAGAUGACAAGUGCAAGAGUGGAACCAAUGGUGCCGCAACCAUCAAAAGCUAUGAGGACGUUCCAACCAACAAUGAGGGAGCCCUCAUGCAAGCCGUCGCAAGUCAACCCGUCUCGGUAGCUGUAGAUGGAGGAGAUAUGACGUUCCAAUUUUACAAAGGUGGAGUAAUGACUGGCUCAUGUGGCACUGACCUAGACCAUGGUAUUGCAGCUAUUGGUUAUGGCAAGACCAGCGAUGGCACAAAAUAUUGGUUGUUGAAGAAUUCAUGGGGAACAACAUGGGGCGAGAACAGAUAUUUAAGAAUGGAGAAGGACAUUACCGACAAGAGAGGCAUGUGUGGCCUUGCAAUGGAGCCUUCUUACCUCACUGCAUAG